GCUGAGGUAGCCUAGCCCGGUAUGGCGGUGGUCUCGAAAACCACUGUCUUUCAGACUCGGGGGUUCGAAUCCCCCUCUCAGCACCA
This 86-nucleotide transfer RNA is filed under the name Promethearchaeati archaeon. RNAcentral describes it as "Asgard group archaeon (marine sediment metagenome) tRNA-Ser". It matches the Rfam family "tRNA". From Rfam's summary of the family: Transfer RNA (tRNA) molecules are approximately 80 nucleotides in length. Lineage: Archaea; Promethearchaeati. The record is from RNAcentral.